Molecule: long non-coding RNA, 165 nt
Organism: Phyllostomus hastatus (greater spear-nosed bat)
Lineage: Eukaryota; Metazoa; Chordata; Mammalia; Chiroptera; Phyllostomidae
Exons: 3
Source: RefSeq, a predicted model, not a curated record
CUGGCAUCUGAUCUUGUUUUUGGUUUUCUACUUAUGGCUUCAUCCCACCACUCUGUACCAUGUCCAUGACCUUGAACUCUAUACUGACUCUUCUGGAUGGACUGCUAUCAGGAAUCCUAGGUAUGAUGAGCAGGUUAUCAGUGGAUGAUAAGUCAGAAGAAGAAA